GCAACGCGGUGGACCUGGGCCAGAUGAGCAGCUUCUACAUUGGCCUGUGUUCCCGCCUCCACUGCAACAUUUUCUCCUACCACUACUCUGGCUACGGUGCCAGCUCGGGCAGGCCCUCCGAGACGAACCUCUACGCCGACAUCAACGCCGCCUGGCAGGCCCUGCGCACCAGGUACCGCAUCAGCCCGGACGGCAUCAUCCUGUACCGGCAGAGCAUCGGCACGGUGCCCACCGUGGACCUGGCCUCGCGCUACGAGUCCGCCACGGUGGUGCUGCACUCGCCGCUCACCUUGGACCUGAGCGUCGCCUUCCGGACACCAAGACCUACUGCUUCGACGCCUUCCCCAAAAUCCAGAAGGUGUCCAAGAUCACGCCGCCCGUGCUCAUCUUCCAGGACACGAAAUACGAGGUGAUGGACUUCUCGCACGGGCUGGCGCUCUACCAGCGCUGCCCCAACGCCGUGGAGCCGCUGUGGGUGGAGGGCGCCGGGCACAAAGACAUCCAGCUCUACAGCCAGUACCUGGAGCGCCUGCGCCGCUUCAUCUCCCAGGAGCUGCGCAGCCAGAGCGCCUAG
Molecule: long non-coding RNA, 574 nt
Filed under: Homo sapiens (human)
Lineage: Eukaryota; Metazoa; Chordata; Mammalia; Primates; Hominidae
Description: non-protein coding lnc-TP53TG3D-6:1
Source: RNAcentral